This 468-nucleotide ribosomal RNA is filed under the name uncultured Sphingobacteriales bacterium. RNAcentral's name for it is "bacterial SSU rRNA". It matches the Rfam family "Bacterial small subunit ribosomal RNA", at positions 913 to 1382 of the family's 1533-position model. The record is from RNAcentral. Lineage: Bacteria; Pseudomonadati; Bacteroidota; Sphingobacteriia; Sphingobacteriales.
ACGGGGGCCCGCACAAGCGGAGGAGCAUGUGGUUUAAUUCGAUGAUACGCGAGGAACCUUACCUGGGCUCGAACGUAAGAUGACUGUAGGUGAAAGCUUACAUCUCUUCGGAGCAUUUUACGAGGUGCUGCAUGGUUGUCGUCAGCUCGUGCCGUGAGGUGUCGGGUUAAGUCCCAUAACGAGCGCAACCCUACCUUUAGUUGCCAUCAGGUAAUGCUGGGGACUCUAAAGGAACUGCCUACGCAAGUAGUGAGGAAGGCGGGGAUGACGUCAAAUCAGCACGGCCCUUACGUCCAGGGCUACACACGUGCUACAAUGGCCGAUACAGAGGGCAGCUACCUGGUGACAGGAUGCAAAUCUCCAAAGUCGGUCUCAGUUCGGAUCGGAGUCUGCAACCCGACUCCGUGAAGUUGGAUUCGCUAGUAAUCGCGCAUCAGCCAUGGCGCGGUGAAUACGUUCCCGGGCCUU